Molecule: ribosomal RNA, 482 nt
Filed under: uncultured bacterium
Lineage: Bacteria
Description: partial 16S ribosomal RNA
Rfam family: Bacterial small subunit ribosomal RNA
Source: RNAcentral
AUUGAACGCUGGCGGCAUGCUUUACACAUGCAAGUCGAACGGUAACAGGCCGCAAGGUGCUGACGAGUGGCGCACGGGUGAGUAAUGCAUCGGAACGUGCCCAGUCGUGGGGGAUAACUACUCGAAAGAGUAGCUAAUACCGCAUACGAUCUAUGGAUGAAGGCGGGGGACCGUAAGGCCUCGCGCGAUUGGAGCGGCCGAUGUCAGAUUAGGUAGUUGGUGGGGUAAAGGCUCACCAAGCCAACGAUCUGUAGCUGGUCUGAGAGGACGACCAGCCACACUGGGACUGAGACACGGCCCAGACUCCUACGGGAGGCAGCAGUGGGGAAUUUUGGACAAUGGGCGCAAGCCUGAUCCAGCAAUGCCGCGUGCAGGAAGAAGGCCUUCGGGUUGUAAACUGCUUUUGUACGGAACGAAACGGCUCUGGUUAAUACCCGGGGCUAAUGACGGUACCGUAAGAAUAAGCACCGGCUAACUACGUG